RNAcentral lists this ribosomal RNA (1541 nucleotides) under Salmonella enterica subsp. enterica serovar Uganda. RNAcentral's name for it is "bacterial SSU rRNA". It matches the Rfam family "Bacterial small subunit ribosomal RNA". Lineage: Bacteria; Pseudomonadati; Pseudomonadota; Gammaproteobacteria; Enterobacterales; Enterobacteriaceae. The record is from RNAcentral.
AAAUUGAAGAGUUUGAUCAUGGCUCAGAUUGAACGCUGGCGGCAGGCCUAACACAUGCAAGUCGAACGGUAACAGGAAGCAGCUUGCUGCUUCGCUGACGAGUGGCGGACGGGUGAGUAAUGUCUGGGAAACUGCCUGAUGGAGGGGGAUAACUACUGGAAACGGUGGCUAAUACCGCAUAACGUCGCAAGACCAAAGAGGGGGACCUUCGGGCCUCUUGCCAUCAGAUGUGCCCAGAUGGGAUUAGCUUGUUGGUGAGGUAAUGGCUCACCAAGGCGACGAUCCCUAGCUGGUCUGAGAGGAUGACCAGCCACACUGGAACUGAGACACGGUCCAGACUCCUACGGGAGGCAGCAGUGGGGAAUAUUGCACAAUGGGCGCAAGCCUGAUGCAGCCAUGCCGCGUGUAUGAAGAAGGCCUUCGGGUUGUAAAGUACUUUCAGCGGGGAGGAAGGUGUUGCGGUUAAUAACCGCAGCAAUUGACGUUACCCGCAGAAGAAGCACCGGCUAACUCCGUGCCAGCAGCCGCGGUAAUACGGAGGGUGCAAGCGUUAAUCGGAAUUACUGGGCGUAAAGCGCACGCAGGCGGUCUGUCAAGUCGGAUGUGAAAUCCCCGGGCUCAACCUGGGAACUGCAUUCGAAACUGGCAGGCUUGAGUCUUGUAGAGGGGGUAGAAUUCCAGGUGUAGCGGUGAAAUGCGUAGAGAUCUGGAGGAAUACCGGUGGCGAAGGCGGCCCCCUGGACAAAGACUGACGCUCAGGUGCGAAAGCGUGGGGAGCAAACAGGAUUAGAUACCCUGGUAGUCCACGCCGUAAACGAUGUCUACUUGGAGGUUGUGCCCUUGAGGCGUGGCUUCCGGAGCUAACGCGUUAAGUAGACCGCCUGGGGAGUACGGCCGCAAGGUUAAAACUCAAAUGAAUUGACGGGGGCCCGCACAAGCGGUGGAGCAUGUGGUUUAAUUCGAUGCAACGCGAAGAACCUUACCUGGUCUUGACAUCCACGGAAGUUUUCAGAGAUGAGAAUGUGCCUUCGGGAACCGUGAGACAGGUGCUGCAUGGCUGUCGUCAGCUCGUGUUGUGAAAUGUUGGGUUAAGUCCCGCAACGAGCGCAACCCUUAUCCUUUGUUGCCAGCGGUCCGGCCGGGAACUCAAAGGAGACUGCCAGUGAUAAACUGGAGGAAGGUGGGGAUGACGUCAAGUCAUCAUGGCCCUUACGACCAGGGCUACACACGUGCUACAAUGGCGCAUACAAAGAGAAGCGACCUCGCGAGAGCAAGCGGACCUCAUAAAGUGCGUCGUAGUCCGGAUUGGAGUCUGCAACUCGACUCCAUGAAGUCGGAAUCGCUAGUAAUCGUGGAUCAGAAUGCCACGGUGAAUACGUUCCCGGGCCUUGUACACACCGCCCGUCACACCAUGGGAGUGGGUUGCAAAAGAAGUAGGUAGCUUAACCUUCGGGAGGGCGCUUACCACUUUGUGAUUCAUGACUGGGGUGAAGUCGUAACAAGGUAACCGUAGGGGAACCUGCGGUUGGAUCACCUCCUUA